UAAGUAAAGUCUUGUAUUCUAGGCAAAG
RNAcentral lists this small RNA (28 nucleotides) under Bombyx mori (domestic silkworm). RNAcentral's name for it is "ovarian small RNA-2892". Lineage: Eukaryota; Metazoa; Arthropoda; Insecta; Lepidoptera; Bombycidae. The record is from RNAcentral.